This 1460-nucleotide ribosomal RNA is filed under the name human gut metagenome. Its description in RNAcentral is "bacterial LSU rRNA". It matches the Rfam family "Bacterial large subunit ribosomal RNA", at positions 506 to 1977 of the family's 2925-position model. The record is from RNAcentral.
AGGGAAAGGUGAUAAUCUCCCCGGAAGGGUAGGGAAAUAGAUCCUGAAACCGUGUGCCUACAACAAGUCAAAGCUCGUUAAUGAGUGAUGGCGUGCCUUUUGUAGAAUGAACCGGCGAGUUACGAUUGCAUGCGAGGUUAAGUCGAAGAGACGGAGCCGCAGCGAAAGCGAGUCUGAAUAGGGCGAAUGAGUAUGUAGUCGUAGACCCGAAACCAUGUGAUCUACCCAUGUCCAGGUUGAAGGUGCGGUAAAACGCACUGGAGGACCGAACCCACGUACGUUGAAAAGUGCGGGGAUGAGGUGUGGGUAGCGGAGAAAUUCCAAACGAACUUGGAGAUAGCUGGUUCUCUCCGAAAUAGCUUUAGGGCUAGCCUCGGAAUUGAGAAUGAUGGAGGUAGAGCACUGUUUGGACUAGGGGCCCAUCUCGGGUUACCGAAUUCAGAUAAACUCCGAAUGCCAUUCAUUUAUAUCCGGGAGUCAGACUGCGAGUGAUAAGAUCCGUAGUCGAAAGGGAAACAGCCCAGACCACCAGCUAAGGUCCCAAAAUAUAUGUUAAGUGGAAAAGGAUGUGGGGUUGCACAGACAACUAGGAUGUUGGCUUAGAAGCAGCCACCAUUUAAAGAGUGCGUAAUAGCUCACUAGUCGAGUGACCCUGCGCCGAAAAUGUACCGGGGCUAAACAUAUUACCGAAGCUGUGGACUACACCAUUAGGUGUAGUGGUAGGAGAGCGUUCUAAGGGCGUUGAAGGUCGAUCGUGAGGACGGCUGGAGCGCUUAGAAGUGAGAAUGCCGGUAUGAGUAGCGAAAGACAGGUGAGAAUCCUGUCCACCGUAUGACUAAGGUUUCCUGGGGAAGGCUCGUCCGCCCAGGGUUAGUCGGGACCUAAGCCGAGGCCGAAAGGCGUAGGUGAUGGACAACAGGUUGAUAUUCCUGUACCAGUUGUUUUUGUUUGAGCAAUGGAGGGACGCAGUAGGCUAAGGAAUGCAUGCGAUUGGAAGUGCAUGUCCAAGCAAUGAGUCUUGAGUAGAGUUAAAUGCUUUACUCUUUAAGGACAAGUUGUGACGGGGAGCGAAAUAAUAGUAGCGAAGUUCCUGAUGUCACACUGCCAAGAAAAGCUUCUAGUGAGAAAACAACUGCCCGUACCGUAAACCGACACAGGUAGUCGAGGAGAGUAUCCUAAGGUGAGCGAGCGAACUCUCGUUAAGGAACUCGGCAAAAUGACCCCGUAACUUCGGGAGAAGGGGUGCUGACUUCGGUCAGCCGCAGUGAAUAGGCCCAAGCGACUGUUUAUCAAAAACACAGGUCUCUGCAAAAUCGUAAGAUGAAGUAUAGGGGCUGACGCCUGCCCGGUGCUGGAAGGUUAAGAGGAUGGGUUAGCUUCGGCGAAGCUCAGAAUUGAAGCCCCAGUAAACGGCGGCCGUAACUAUAACGGUCCUAAGGUAGCGAAAUUCCUUGUCGGGU